RNAcentral lists this long non-coding RNA (231 nucleotides) under Mytilus galloprovincialis (Mediterranean mussel). Lineage: Eukaryota; Metazoa; Mollusca; Bivalvia; Mytilida; Mytilidae. The record is from RNAcentral.
CAAUUUUUCUCAUUUCAGAUUUCAUAAAUAAAAAGAAAAUUUCCUCAAACAUUUUUUUGAGAGGAUUAAUAUUCAACAGCAAAGUGAAUUGCUUAAAGGCAAAAAACUAUUUUUAAAUUUAUUAGACCACAUUCAUUCUGUGUCAGAAACCUAUGCUGUGUCAACUAUUUAAUCACAAUUCAAAUUUAGAGCUGAAUCCAGCUUGAAUGUUGUGUCCAUACUUGCCCCAAC